This 301-nucleotide ribosomal RNA is filed under the name uncultured bacterium. RNAcentral's name for it is "partial 16S ribosomal RNA". It matches the Rfam family "Bacterial small subunit ribosomal RNA", at positions 509 to 809 of the family's 1533-position model. The record is from RNAcentral.
CAGCAGCCACGGUAAAACGUAGGUGGCAAGCGUUGUCCGGAAUUAUUGGGCGUAAAGCGCGCGCAGGCGGAUCGGUCAGUCUGUCUUAAAAGUUCGGGGCUUAACCCCGUGAUGGGAUGGAAACUGCCAAUCUAGAGUAUCGGAGAGGAAAGUGGAAUUCCUAGUGUAGCGGUGAAAUGCGUAGAUAUUAGGAAGAACACCAGUGGCGAAGGCGACUUUCUGGACGAAAACUGACGCUGAGGCGCGAAAGCCAGGGGAGCGAACGGGAUUAGAGACCCCUGUAGUCCCUGUCUCUUAUACA